Molecule: long non-coding RNA, 1394 nt
Filed under: Homo sapiens (human)
Lineage: Eukaryota; Metazoa; Chordata; Mammalia; Primates; Hominidae
Description: non-protein coding lnc-MSH3-3:1
Source: RNAcentral
GGCCUGACCUUGAAUUGCUGGUUAGUUCCUGAUGUGGGAAGCCUUUGAGUUCCAAACUUUUGUAGUGCCUGCUGAAAUUGUCCUAGGUUAACUAGGUACUGUAUUAAACCAGCCAUUUCUGGAUCAGUAAUUAGAUCAUUAGUUAAAAAUGGCCUCCUAUAUAGCAUCUCAUAUGAGCUCAUAUGUAUUUUUGCUCUCUAAAAGUUGUGGAUUCUUAAGAGGGCUAUGGGCAGUAAGCUGACCCAAGUUUCUGAUGUUUCCUGGCAUAGCUUAGCUAACACCCAUUUCAGAGUUUGAUUAGCCCUUCUUUCCCAGAGGAUUGAGGCCUCCGUGCUGAAUAUAAAUAGUAUUUGAUUCCGAGAGCCUUAGCAACCCCUUGAGUAAAGAUGGGCCGUUAUCACUUUGGAGGCUUUGGGGUUACACAAACCAGGGAUUAUUUCCUUUAAGAGAACCUUUAUAACUUCAUUAGCCUUCUCUGUUCUGGUAAAGUAACCUUCAACCCAGCCAGGAAAGGUGUCUAUUAGUACUAACGAUAGAGACAGGAGACAGCCAAAUGCCACCCAGAUCAUUGUGCACAGGGAGCUUGCCUAAACAUGGCCACGUUGAAAAAUUCUGUCCCUUAAUACAUGCACAGUAAGGGAAAUAAGUCAGUGUGGAGUGGCUCAGACUAAGGGCCCCCCUGCACACUGUAAGAAUGGUGUGGAGCACCAGGAAUUCACACCUUCUCUCAGGAGGAGCCUGGCCUCUUCAGCCCCUGUGUGGUGGCCUGGUAUUCAGUCUGUGAGGUGGGAGCCUGUUGGCAGGACCCCCUCUUUCUUUGCUGAGAGCUUUCUUUUCACCUAAUAAAUCUGCCCUCCUCGCCCUUCAAUGUCUGUGUGCCUAAUUUUUCCCAGAUGAGGAAAAAUAUCUUUAUGUACUCCUCAUUUUGCUCAUUUUGAGUUCUUUAAACAUCAAAAAAGUUAAUCCAUUAACUAUUUCAAAUAAGUCAUAUAUGAUUUCUGUAUAAUAUGUUGCCAUGGAAUUUUGUUAAUCACAGAGUAAGUUAAACUAUGCUAUAAGAGCAAAAAGCUUGCUUUGAAUGCUUCUGCAAAGCCCUAGGCAACAGGAAAAGCAAUAUUUCCUCCCUUAAUUAUUACAGGGAGGUCACUGAUCGUUACAUAAUUGCCCCGAUUCUCAUCCUGAGGAUACAAGAAAGAAUGCUCUGGAAGAGGGCUGCUUUGCAAGGACAUGAUCAGGCUGUGUCCUGGGAGGACUACAAUAGAGCUUUAGAAGGUAUAGGGUUUGCCCACAGUUUAAACUAGGAACUCUAUGCUUUUUCCAACUAGGACAUAUGUGGCAUUUUCCAUCCAAAUAACAGCAGCAUCAUAAACAUUUAUAUAAUUUGUAUAACAGUU